Molecule: ribosomal RNA, 484 nt
Filed under: uncultured bacterium
Lineage: Bacteria
Description: partial 16S ribosomal RNA
Rfam family: Bacterial small subunit ribosomal RNA
Source: RNAcentral
AGUGAACGCUGGCGGCGUGCUUAACACAUGCAAGUCGAACGAGAACGGGAUAUAGCUUGCUAUAUUUGUCAGCUAAGUGGCGCACGGGUGAGUAAUGUAUAGGUAAUAUGCCUCUUACUAAGGGAUAACAAUUGGAAACGAUCGCUAAUACCUUAUAUGCCUUUAAGACUAAAGUCUGCAAGGGAAAGAUUUAUUGGUAAGAGAUUAGCCUGUAUUGUAUCAGCUAGUUGGUGGGGUAAUGGCUCACCAAGGCUAUGACGCAUAACUGGUUUGAGAGGAUGAUCAGUCACACUGGAACUGAGACACGGUCCAGACUCCUACGGGAGGCAGCAGUGGGGAAUAUUGCACAAUGGACGAAAGUCUGAUGCAGCAACGCCGCGUGGAGGAUGACACAUUUCGGUGCGUAAACUCCUUUUAUAUGGGAAGAUAAUGACGGUACUAUAUGAAUAAGCACCGGCUAACUCCGUGCCAGCCGCCGCAGUAA